AUGGCCUUGGAGGGCGGUGCUGGCAUUGGCAAUGGCAUAAUCAAGCGGCCGCCGCAGCAAUGCUCGGUCGCCGUGGAGACGGCCGCUCACCACGCCGACGGUGAGACCGAGGAGGAGGACGAAGGAAAGCCAUGGAUCGCGAGGAAGUGGAUCUCGUCGCUUGCGGUUUGCCUCGUCGCGCUGCCGUUCCUGGCGAUCAUGGUUAGCCGGCGGGACAGGCCGUUGCCGCUGGCGUCCGGCUGGACAUCGGCGGCGACGGCAAGGACGACGUACGAUCGCCGAGAAUCCAAUCAGGACGGGCUCCUCGGAGGCCUGCUUGUUCCCGGGUUCGACGAACAAUCGUGCAUCAGCCGGUACCAGUCCACCUCCCACCUCAAGAAGCUGGCGCGCUCGCCGUCGACACACCUCGUGAAGCGGCUGCGGGAGCAGGAGGCGCUGCAGAGGCGGUGCGGCCCGGGCACCGAGACAUACCGGCGAGCGGCGGAGCGGCUGGGGCCCCGAGAAGAUGGCACUAGCACAACCACGGAUGACGACGCCUGCAAGUACCUCGUGCUGGUGCCUUACAGGGGCCUGGGGAACCGGAUACUGGCCAUGGCGUCGGCGUUCCUCUACGCCAUGCUCACCGACCGCGUGCUGCUCGUCCACAGGGGCACGUCGCUGCCCGACCUCCUCUGCGAGCCGUUCCAGGAGACGUCGUGGUUGCUGCCCCCGGACUUCCCGCUCAGGGACCUCGAGAACCUGACCGGCGAGGUGCCGGAGAGCUACCGGAACCUGGUGCGGGAGUACGGCCGGGCCGCGUCCGUGUCCGAUCUCCCAUACGUCUUCGUCGACCUCGACCACGCCUGCACCUACCACGACAAGCUCUUCUACUGCGACGACCACCGGGAGUUCCUCCACCGUGCGCCGUGGCUGGUGAUGAGGACGGACGGCUACUUCGUGCCCGCGCUCUUCCUGAACCCGGCGUACCAGGAGGAGCUCGACAAGCUUUUCCCCCGAAAGGACUCGGUGUUCUACCUCCUGGCACGGUACCUCUUCCACCCGACGAACAAAGUGUGGGGGCUGAUCACGAGGUUCUACGAUUCCUACCUGAAAAAUUCGGACGAACGGCUGGGCAUCCAGGUCAGGGUGUUCGACGGCGACACGCCGUUCAAGCACGUCCUGGACCAGAUCCUCGCGUGCACCUCGCAGGAGCAUCUGCUGCCCGAGGUGGUGGCGCAGGACCCGGGGCCGCCCGCCUCGACCGCCGGCGCGCGGUCGAAGGCCGGGUACGUCGGCCACGGGCUCGGCGGGCUCACCCCGUGGAUCAUGUUCAAGCCCGAGAACCUCACCACACCCGACCCGCCGUGCCGGCGGGCGGCCUCCAUGGAGCCGUGCUUGCACGGGCCUCCCUUCUACGACUGCAGGGCCAGGCGCGGCGCCGAUACCGGAAAGCUUGUGCCGCAUGUCCGGCAUUGCGAAGACAUGAGCUGGGGACUGAAACUUGUUCACCCGGAAUAG
This 1497-nucleotide ribosomal RNA is filed under the name Triticum aestivum (bread wheat). RNAcentral's name for it is "partial small subunit ribosomal RNA". Lineage: Eukaryota; Viridiplantae; Streptophyta; Magnoliopsida; Poales; Poaceae. The record is from RNAcentral.